RNAcentral lists this ribosomal RNA (342 nucleotides) under uncultured bacterium. Its description in RNAcentral is "bacterial SSU rRNA". It matches the Rfam family "Bacterial small subunit ribosomal RNA", at positions 1 to 334 of the family's 1533-position model. The record is from RNAcentral.
CUAGCAGUAUCAGAGUUUGAUCCUGGCUCAGGAUGAACGCCAGCUACAGGCUUAACACAUGCAAGUCGAGGGGCAGCGCAGUGUAGCAAUACAUGGGCGGCGACCGGCGCACGGGUGCGUAACGCGUAUCCAACCUUCCCGAUACUCAGGGAUAGCCCUCCGAAAGGGAGACUAAUACCUGAUGGUGUUCAAAUUCCGCAUGUUAUUUGAACUAAAGAUUUAUCGGUAUCGGAUGGGGAUGCGUGACAUUAGAUAGUAGGCGGGGUAACGGCCCACCUAGUCUACGAUGUCUAGGGGUUCUGAGAGGAAGGUCCCCCACACUGGAACUGAGACACGGUCCAG